AAACUUUCAACAACGGAUCUCUUGGUUCUGGCAUCGAUGAAGAACGCAGCGAAAUGCGAUAAGUAAUGUGAAUUGCAGAAUUCAGUGAACCAUCGAAUCUUUGAACGCACAUUGCGCCCGCCAGUAU
RNAcentral lists this ribosomal RNA (127 nucleotides) under Conoideocrella luteorostrata. RNAcentral's name for it is "5.8S ribosomal RNA". It matches the Rfam family "5.8S ribosomal RNA", at positions 1 to 126 of the family's 154-position model. Rfam says of the family: 5.8S ribosomal RNA (5.8S rRNA) is a component of the large subunit of the eukaryotic ribosome. It is transcribed by RNA polymerase I as part of the 45S precursor that also contains 18S and 28S rRNA. Lineage: Eukaryota; Fungi; Ascomycota; Sordariomycetes; Hypocreales; Clavicipitaceae. The record is from RNAcentral.